RNAcentral lists this unclassified non-coding RNA (191 nucleotides) under fungal sp. Its description in RNAcentral is "partial internal transcribed spacer region". The stretch from base 1 to 46 matches the Rfam family "Eukaryotic small subunit ribosomal RNA", at positions 1786 to 1831 of the family's 1831-position model. Lineage: Eukaryota; Fungi. The record is from RNAcentral.
AAGUCGUAACAAGGUUUCCGUAGGUGAACCUGCGGAAGGAUCAUUUCUGGUUAUUUUGGAACAAACUUGUGAGUUUUUUAGACUCACGGGUAGUUAACACACACACAAAACACCUGUUUUUAGAACACGGCAUUCUGUCUGAUUCUCUAUUAAAUGGUAUAAAACUUUCAACAACGGAUCUCUAGGCUCUU